This 729-nucleotide long non-coding RNA is filed under the name Capsella grandiflora. Its description in RNAcentral is "long non-coding RNA (CGRA_LNC000364)". The record is from RNAcentral. Lineage: Eukaryota; Viridiplantae; Streptophyta; Magnoliopsida; Brassicales; Brassicaceae.
CGAACGUAUAUUAAAACCAAACGAAUUUACAACUGUACAAUAAUACACACUAUUCUGUUUAUCAUAUAGUACAAAUCUAUACUAUUAAACACCAAAUAUAUAUACAAUACAGUAAAUAUUUUAGUAAUUUGUUCCAAAACAAUAUUUCAACUGUGCUUCCGCACGGGUUAUCCUCUAGUAGAAAGUAAAGAACAUUGUAAAUGAUCCACAAGUAAUCUUAUUCAACAGACGUCUUCCGCACGGGUUAUCCUCUUAUUCAACUGUGCUUCCGCACGGGUUAUCCUCUUAUUCAAUACCCCAUCAUGAUUAAAUAAGAAGUGAAGAAAGUAAAGAACAUUUUAAAUGAUCCACAAGUAAUACGUAAAACUCAUUUAUGAUUAGAAAGAUAUUUGAGCAUUUGGACUUUUCCAAACGGACCAACCCCAACUUCGUUAGAAGCUUUAGAGAUUUUCAAGUCAUGAUUUAGUCCGUCAUUAGCUACUAAGCCUCAGAGUAGAGGCAUGUAGCUAGCUAGGUGUGGUUGGUUGUAUAGCCAUUAGAGGGAGAUAUUAGCCUAACGUAUGCUUGUUGUUCAAGUUGGUGACCGAUGCUCCUGUGUCUCUACACUAGAACAAGACCAUGUCCAUAAGGAUGUCUUGGGAAGAAAUGUCUUGAGCAGAGUCGAUUUGGGUUUCACCAUAAGGAUCUCUAUGUUUAAAGCCUGGUUUAAGAGAUCUUUGUAUCUUUUUC